AAGUUCCAAGCUAUAACAGAAGUCGAAAAAGACAUACAAUCAAAUGCAGCGAUAUUUCCCGUUUCCGUCUUCGUCAUUAUUACAGUGAUUGGUUUAUCAUUUACAAAGCAUAAGACAAAUCCAAACUCCGUACAGCGUCAAAUUCUCCGGGACUACUUUCCCCUACAAAUAAUGACACUGCCACAGGCUUUCCAAACUUAUGCAGAAAACCGCAAGUUACUAUACGCGUGUGAUUCGGUUUUUUAAAAUACCAGAUAGGGUGGUCACGUAGGGUUUAUUUAUUCCAGAAUUAGUAGAAAUAAAUUCUUUUAAAAUUUGUGUAGCAUUUAGACUGAUUAAAAAUUGAAACUAUUGGCCUUGACAUUGGACUAUAAUUUUGAGCGGAGCGUCAUCGACGUAGUGAUGAUGAUGCCGAGGCGUCUGUGGAAACAGGAGGGAGAUUUUAUCGUAUCAGGUCACACCUGCGUUUUGCUGUCAUAUUUCAGAAGGAAUCGAGUCAAGAAAGACGGAUACACCAGGGAUUUCUUUACAGAUGGAUAGCGAGAACAUUCAACAUUCAAACAACCAGGAAUUGCAUCAUCGCAAUGGCAAACCAUGAUUUUGAGUCCACACCAGCUUCCGCAAUUUGACAAUGUAGAUAAUUUAUGGAAAGCAUCCAUGGGUAACCAACGAUGAGGAAUUACAAGAUGUGAAGGAUUUCCACCAGUUUGAAUUAAACGAAUUGGAAUGAGUUCCUGACAUAUCAAAAAAUUGCCAUUUUUUCCCUGUUUCCAAAUAUGUGCAAGAAAUAUACAGGGAUUGAAAGCUGAGAAAGAGACAAAAAUUCCUUUCCAAUAUUACAUAUUAUAUGACAGUAAGGCUAUCAAUAGUGUA
Molecule: long non-coding RNA, 873 nt
Organism: Ostrea edulis (European flat oyster)
Lineage: Eukaryota; Metazoa; Mollusca; Bivalvia; Ostreida; Ostreidae
Exons: 3
Source: RefSeq, a predicted model, not a curated record